Dreissena polymorpha is the source of this 345-nucleotide long non-coding RNA. RefSeq lists it as uncharacterized. The transcript is spliced from 5 exons. Lineage: Eukaryota; Metazoa; Mollusca; Bivalvia; Myida; Dreissenidae. The record is from RefSeq and is a predicted model, not a curated record.
CGACCCAUUUGGACGAUCUUCUGACUCCGCAGCUGGUUGAAGCCCAUUAUAACAUCACACUUCAGCACACCCCGAACACGGUUAACUUGCACACGGUCGAAGGUGCUGCCAACAUCGAAGAAAAACAGGACGGAGAGUUCCCGAAGAUUUCCUCUAUAUCGAGAAGCCAAAUGAAACUCAUGUUGAAAAACAAGCACAACGAUCCUGCCACGGACCACUCACUGCACGAGAUGCAUCAGGAUUCUAUCAGCGUCAAACCGAAACCGGAGGAAAAAGUUCCAUUGUCACAAGUUGAUGCGGACAUUCGGAAGUAUAUCACGUGCGUCCAUUUCUACACCAACAAAU